ACCCUGGGGCCCCAGCUCAGCCCCUGCUCUGAGGGCUCCCUGAGGCAUGUGGCAGUGGGAGCCUGAGAUGCAGAGGAAGAAGGGCUGGGAAAUGCCCCAGGAGGGCAGGCACCACCUGGAGAGGAGGGAAGCCAGCCCAGCACCCCUAGCGCCUCCCCUGGGGACUAGUGGGGACUUUUUUGGGCUGGCUCAUGGCACACAGUAAGGCAGGUGACAGCUGGGAUGUGUGACCACAAGGAUCAAGCUUCAGCCUGCCCUUCUACCACACAGGACACCCAGCAGGUAAAAGGAGGAGCAUCCAUGUUGCCCUCUGGGUGGCAGUAACGGCCUGUGAUGUGCCACCCCACCUCCCAGCCCUAAUCUGUGCUUGUGCCCACCACUUCCUGCCAAAAACCCUGUGUUCAAGCCCUUAACCCACUACAAGUCUCCCAAGCCCAGGUUUGACUCUCAGCUCCACAACUUUCUUGCCGUGGGAUUCUGAACAAAUCACAGAGCCCUCCCCAUCCUCUGUCUCAAAUGCAGGACAGGGGUCACAAUGGCACCUGCUCAGGGCUGUCAUGGACGCAGAGAAAACAGGUUCUGCACUGGCAGGCCCUCUGCCUGAUGCAUUGAAAGCCCUCAGGACGCAGGCACUGUUCUCCUGUUGCCCCACCUGCCCCCCACAUGGCCAGCUGGGGGUCUCCUCAAUAUGCCCUGUGAUUUUCAUCCCUGCCAUCAAUCUGUGUUCCUCAAUUCUUUUGAAGCCUCCCUGAAAAGCAGGCUGCAGUCCCCCACAUGAACACUGACUGUUCUAGGCUCACCUGUAUCACUGUCUGGUGCCAUUAGACUGUUCUUAUUCGGAUUUCAUAAUAAGAUAUUGUGAACCCAAGAGGAAUCAAAAUUCCUGCUUGAAAAAUAAUCUGAUACUGGUCAGGCCAUCAGCACGGAAAUACUUCAGAUGCACACAAUCAUGCGUACUUUUGCCCUCUCACUCCAUAAAAACUACUAUGUGCCAGGCACGGUUCUGGACUUUUCUCCCCAUGCAGUCGGACAAUCCUCCUGGGCAGGAGCAUCCAGGCAAUUCUGUGGUGCCUGCUUUCCCCUCCAGCCCAGCUGCAGGCUUGCCGGAAGAGGGACAAGUGUAGCCUUAGGCCCGACCCUGGGCUGCAUUUUGCAGUGUGGCCAGCAGGAGGCAGCAUGACCCCAUAGCGGGCAGCACUGAGGCUGCAGGCUAAGGAGGCCACCAGGCGGGCAGGGUGAAAGAGCAGGGCUGUGUGAGGUGGCCCCUGGUUACUCCUCUGUGCCCAUGCCCCACCCUCUAUGGGUUUAGGAAUUGAAUAUCUGGGGGCCUCUCAGGGCUGAGCCAGGCUCCUGCUCUCAGUUCCUGCAGGCGCUCUCCACAUCCCUUCUCAUGGUUUUCAGUAAACACGAGGACAAGGACAGGAGGGAGGGGACAGGGAGAGGGUGGGGCCGCUGUGGAAGCCCCUGCCAAGACCACAGACCUCAGGCAAGCUGCUUCCCUGGCAACUCCGCUACCUGCUCUCCCUGGACCCCCAGCACAGUCCCAGGAGUCACCUCUGCCCUCGACAGUGAACAAGUGCACUCUUGGUGACCUUGAACGUGAAGCCUGGUGAGGCUAUGGAGGAGAGGCCCACCUUGCCAGGGCCCUUGGUGUGGCUGAGUCUCUGCUUCCCUUGCCGUCUCAGCCUCUCCCUCCCUCCUGGGGCUGGGAGUCAGGACAGCACCUGUGGAGCUCUGGCCCAACUAGUUAGGCCACAUUAAGCAGGGACCCAGACAAAGGUCAAGGGCACUGAGGAGGGAGCUAGCACCACAGAAAGUCCACUUCCCAGGUGCAGCCUUGGCCAUGAUGUUUGAGGACAGCUGCAGGGGCUGUUUGGUGCCCUCAUGUCCUUCUGAUGCUGCAAGUAGCAGAUGGGGGCAGAGUGAACAGGUAGGCUAUGAGUAGGAGUGAAUGAAGGUGGGGCUGACCCCUGGCUCUGGCGGUGGCACCCUGGGGUGGCUGGAAGGUGGGUCCCCAGUGGAGUUUGGGGACAGAAAGGUGCAGGCCAAGCCCAGCUGCCAGCAGCCAGAGUUGCACCGAGUUCAGUAUUCGCCAUUGCAAAUGGGACCUGGCACCACGGGUCAGAGAACUGAGCUGGACGGUGCAGGGUGGGUGGGGUAGGGAAGGUGGGAGUCAGGGCUCUCAUCUGCGGCCAGCACAGGCUCCACAGUCCCCCACCCUGUCAAUUCCCUGGUGGGCCAGCAGGUGGCGCCCAGCCUCUUUCUCCCCAAGGUCCUGGGAUGGGGAGGCUCCAGCUUAGAGCCUAGGCGCUCCUAUGGGAACCCAGGGCCAGAGAUGACCCGGUCAGCAGGGCCCUCUCCCCUGACCUCCUCCCUCCCUCUCCUGGGGAGCUGUGCUAGGUGCACAGCCUAGGCAGCCAAACCUCCGAAACGCCCCCAAGCUAUCCUGGGUGGUCAGGUUGAGCCGCUCCACACUCUGGGCCACGGGAGCCCCGAAGGGCGCAGAGUGGGCACUGGGGCUGCUGGACGGGAGGGCGCCCUGCCCCCUGCCCUGGCCUCAUACCUUCCUCCUCUGAUGUGGGCACUGGCCCUAGUGUCACCCCACUCCUCCCAGCACCAGGGGCACAGGCGUGAGAUCACUGGGCCCUGCGGGGGAUGGGGCGCUGGAGCUCAGGGACUGCCUGACAACUGCUUUCCGAGGGGCUGGGAAUGGCUGCCAGCCAGCAUCACCUUCCAGAACAGCAAGCUAAGGCCUCGGAGACGGGGGCCUUGGAUCCAGGCCUGGCAUCAGCCAAGCGUCUGGAACCUGCACCACCAGGGCCCCACCACUCUGGAGGUCUGGGGUGGGGCUGUGCUGUGACAGUGGCUGCAGGGCCAGGACCCCAGCUCCUCGGCACUCACUCCCAGCACCUCUCCUCCCUGGUUCUGGGCCUCCCUGGGGCAGGAGGGGGUGGGGAGGGGGAGGCUCAGGUAUGAGGCUCAGCGAGCCCCUCACAAACUGUGGCAGACAGCAGAGAAAGGCCACCAGCCCCCCGCACACGGUACACACUCCCCACAGCAAGGGUGACACUGGUAGAGACAGAGGUUCCCACAGUGCACAAACGUUCCUCUAAAGAAAAAGCAACAACAUCAAUAUAUGAAACGCAGGGCUCUUCAUGCGUUUACGACAGGGCGUCCUUCACCCUGAAGGUGCCGGCGAGCAUCAAGACUGCAGAGCCAGCCACUGGGUGCCGCAUUCCUGCUGGCUCAGGUGGGACCUGUUUCUGUCGCAUCUUAAAGGACGAUGCUGGGAAAGGCUGCUCUCACCCUGGCAGGGCUCAGAGGUGAUGAGAUGAGAAAGGGGUAAAGCGAUCUGCUCUUCAGAGGAAGCCUGCCUUCCCUGACCAUCGAGGAACUGGAUCUGAGUAUUUCUCUGCUCAGCUGAAAGGCUGGGGCUGGGUUUUGAUAGUCAGGGAUCCAGGGCAUCUGUGGCCAGGAAGGUCCUGUCUGGCAGGUGGUAGGGGUUGGGGGGUGUCCCUCCCCUCUCCUGGCCCUGCCAUGGAGACAAGGGGCUUCUCCUCAGUGGCUUGCAUGGAAUGCCAGCCCUACCACUCACUUGCUUCUUAAGCUCAUGUAAUCUCAAUUUGUUUCCCUGUAAAACAGGGAAGCAAUGUUCAAGUUCCUGGCCUCGAAUAAAUAAGACAUUAUUAUUACACAU
RNAcentral lists this long non-coding RNA (3697 nucleotides) under Homo sapiens (human). RNAcentral's name for it is "HSALNT0048733". The record is from RNAcentral. Lineage: Eukaryota; Metazoa; Chordata; Mammalia; Primates; Hominidae.